CAGUCCUCUCCUUCCUGCACCUGGGAUGUAUUUCCUGGCACUGUCCUGCACCUCUGUGUGCAGCUUCUCCUGGUUGGGCUGCAGAGAGCUCUUGCCCUGCAGGUACAGGGCCCUGAAGUGCCUUCAUGAAGUCAAUGCAUGUGGCCACAGCAGUGUUCAUACUGAUAUAAUUGCAACAUAAACGGAAUUUGGUUCAUCUAAUUAGGGUCUGGUGGCUAUCCAGCUGAAACGUACUUCCUUGGAGCUGCACAACUCCAGCUCCAGCAGGCCUCUGUCCCCUGCUGCUGUGCUCUGGUCCCAGCUCUCAGGUGGGUCUGGGUCCUGCAGGGCUCACCCACGUCGGCUGUGCAGGGCUCUGCUCCCCUGGCUCGGCCACAAGUACCGAGAUGUUGUCUGCUGGGUGCCUUUCUCCAGGGCAGCCCCGCCAGGAGCGGUCUUCCGGGGUGACGCUGUGAGCUUCCCUGUGCUUGGUGAGGUUUUCUCUUUGUCCUCCCCAGGUUUCUGAAGGGCUUCAGCGCCUGGGAGCCGCCAGGCUGCUUGUGCACCACCGGCACCAAACCCUGCUUGGAGGCUGUGCCUGUGCCACCGCAGCACCCACGGCACUCGGGGGUGCAGAGCGGUGACAAAAUGCACCGAGACAGCCGUGGGGCCUGGCCACCGGAGUGAGCGCAGAGGGCAGGACCGGGACCCUCCUUCCCCAUCAAACCGCAGCAGCUUCCCAGGUCACGGGGCGAAGGGCUGUCAGCGGGUGGAACGCGACCCUGCGCCCAGCGGGGCCCGCGGACGUGCCAUCCACCAGGCUUCGCAACCCCCGGUGACGAUGAUCUGCUGUGGAAAGGAAAGUUGUGUGAGCCCCAGAAAAAAUGUCUUUAGCCUUAUAAACUGACACAGUUGUUUAUAAUAUUCCUAAGUGCCAUUGCGUGAUGAUAGCAAUUCUCCGACAGGGAAAAUUUACUUUUUUCCUUCUUUUUUUAAAUAAAGUUAGAAAGCUGUAAGUCCCA
RNAcentral lists this long non-coding RNA (1001 nucleotides) under Anser brachyrhynchus (Pink-footed goose). RNAcentral describes it as "lncRNA (ENSABRG00000008558.1)". Lineage: Eukaryota; Metazoa; Chordata; Aves; Anseriformes; Anatidae. The record is from RNAcentral.